AUUGAACGCUGGCGGCAGGCCUAACACAUGCAAGUCGAACGGUAACAGGAAGAAGCUUGCUUCUUUGCUGUCGAGUGGCGGACGGGUGAGUAAUGUCUGGGAAACUGCCUGAUGGAGGGGGAUAACUACUGGAAACGGUAGCUAAUACCGCAUAACGUCGCAAGACCAAAGAGGGGGACCUUCUGGCCUCUUGCCAUCGGAUGUGCCCAGAUGGGAUUAGCUAGUAGGUGGGGUAACGGCUCACCUAGGCGACGAUCCCUAGCUGGUCUGAGAGGAUGACCAGCCACACUGGAACUGAGACACGGUCCAGACUCCUACGGGAGGCAGCAGUGGGGAAUAUUGCACAAUGGGCGCAAGCCUGAUGCAGCCAUGCCGCGUGUAUGAAGAAGGCCUUCGGGUUGUAAAGUACUUUCAGCGGGGAGGAAGGGAGUAAAGUUAAUACCUUUGCUCAUUGACGUUACCCGCAGAAGAAGCACCGGCUAACUCCGUG
RNAcentral lists this ribosomal RNA (490 nucleotides) under uncultured bacterium. Its description in RNAcentral is "partial 16S ribosomal RNA". It matches the Rfam family "Bacterial small subunit ribosomal RNA", at positions 30 to 507 of the family's 1533-position model. The record is from RNAcentral.